Molecule: long non-coding RNA, 227 nt
Filed under: Ananas comosus (pineapple)
Lineage: Eukaryota; Viridiplantae; Streptophyta; Magnoliopsida; Poales; Bromeliaceae
Description: long non-coding RNA (ACOM_LNC011524)
Source: RNAcentral
AAUUUCUAAAUUUUGACUGAAUUAAUGUACCUAGCACACUUGGAUAUGAAUUUAGUGGUUGAUAUUUGAGAUUUCAAAUUUGAAGGCUAUUUUUUUAUACUUUUUUAGUUGAGUUUAUUUUUUAAAAAAAUAAAGAAGCGGGUAAUGUGCUUCAUUUUCUUUUUUUUUUAAACAAAUCUCUAAAUUUGAUGUAGUAUGAAUUCAUGAUCAGAGUUUUACGUUAUUUG